GGAAUGUAGCUUAGUGGUGGAGUACUUGCCUGGCAUAAGCAAGGGCCUGGGUUCAAUCCCCAGCACCA
Molecule: transfer RNA, 68 nt
Filed under: Marmota monax (woodchuck)
Lineage: Eukaryota; Metazoa; Chordata; Mammalia; Rodentia; Sciuridae
Description: tRNA.Ala
Rfam family: tRNA (bases 5-65)
About the family: Transfer RNA (tRNA) molecules are approximately 80 nucleotides in length. Their secondary structure includes four short double-helical elements and three loops (D, anti-codon, and T loops).
Source: RNAcentral